Molecule: ribosomal RNA, 441 nt
Filed under: uncultured bacterium
Lineage: Bacteria
Description: partial 16S ribosomal RNA
Rfam family: Bacterial small subunit ribosomal RNA
Source: RNAcentral
CCUACGGGAGGCAGCAGUGGGGGAUAUUGCACAAUGGGGGAAACCCUGAUGCAGCGACGCCGCGUGGGUGAAGAAGUAUUUCGGUAUGUAAAGCCCUAUCAGCAGGGAAGAAAGAAGACGGUACCUGACUAAGAAGCCCCGGCUAACUACGUGCCAGCAGCCGCGGUAAUACGUAGGGGGCGAGCGUUAUCCGGAUUCACUGGGUGUAAAGGGAGCGUAGACGGCCGUGCAAGCCAGGAGUGAAAGCCCGGGGCCCAACCCCGGGACUGCUCUUGGAACUGUGCGGCUGGAGUGCGGGAGGGGCAGGCGGAAUUCCUGGUGUAGCGGUGAAAUGCGUAGAUAUUAGGAGGAACACCGGCGGCGAAGGCGGCCUGCUGGACCGCGACUGACGUUGAGGCUCGAAAGCGUGGGGAGCGAACAGGAUUAGAUACCCCAGUAGUC